GACGAACGCUGGCGGCGUGCUUAACACAUGCAAGUCGAACGAUGAAGAAAAGAAUUGCAGCUUCGGCAGAAAUUCAUUUCGGAUUAGUGGCAGACGGGUGAGUAACGCGUGAGCAACCUACCUCUUACAAAGGGAUAGCCUCGGGAAACCGGGAUUAAUACCAUAUAACAUUGCGACGAAGCAUUUCGAUGCAAUCAAAGCUACGGCGGUAAGAGAUGGGCUCGCGUCCCAUUAACCAGAUGGUGAGGUAACGGCUCACCAUAGUAACGAUGGGUAACCGGCCUGAGAGGGUGAACGGUCACACUGGAACUGAGACACGGUCCAGACUCCUACGGGAGGCAGCAGUGGGGAAUAUUGCACAAUGGAGGGAACUCUGAUGCAGCGACGCCGCGUGAGUGACGAAGGAAUUCGUUUCGUAAAACUCUGUUCUAUGGGAAGAAAAGGACUGUACCAUAGGAGAAAGCUCCGGCUAAAUACGUG
Molecule: ribosomal RNA, 480 nt
Filed under: uncultured bacterium
Lineage: Bacteria
Description: partial 16S ribosomal RNA
Rfam family: Bacterial small subunit ribosomal RNA
Source: RNAcentral